RNAcentral lists this ribosomal RNA (2982 nucleotides) under marine metagenome. RNAcentral's name for it is "bacterial LSU rRNA". The stretch from base 1 to 2642 matches the Rfam family "Archaeal large subunit ribosomal RNA". The record is from RNAcentral.
AUUCUGCCGAACAGUAAAUUAUGGAUACCUUGGCUUCUAUACCGAAGAAGGGCGUGGCAAGCUGCGAUAAUCUAUGGGUAGCCGCAUGCAGGCUAUGAUCCAUAGGUACCCGAAUUGGAAUCCAUUCAUUGUCCAAAAAGCAAUGAAAGGCCCCUUAGGGCCGGGGAACCCUCCGAACGAAAGCAUUCAAGUAGGAGGUGGAAAAGAAAUCAAUUUCGAGAUUUCCUUAGUAACGGCGAGUAAAAAGGAAACAGGUCAAACCGAAUGAGUAUAAGAAAUUAUAUUCGGAUGUGGUGUUGAGGACUAGUGUCAACGCGUAAGUUUUAGAAACUGAAUUUUGUUUGGAACACAAAACCAUAGAGGGUGACAGUCCCGUAAGUGUAUAAAACAUGCUACGAGCAUUAGUAUCCAGACUAGGGCGGAUUGGUAAUUCCGUCCAAACCUCCAGAACCAACUGGAAAGCCUAAAUAUUAAUAGAAGACCGAUAGCGAACUAGUAACGUGAGUGAAAGGUGAAAAGUAGUGGUAAAACACAGUGAAAAGAGCUUGAAAUAAUUUACUUAAAGAGUGUAAUGGCGUCGAAGGAAAGAGACUCAUCGAAUCUAACGGUUGUGAAACCUUCUUGAGAGAUGAGUUUACCAGCGUCAUUGCGUCAGUCUUGAAACACUGGCCAGGGAGUUUAUUUAUGUGGUGAGGCUAAGAUCAUAUCUGUGCCGUAGGGAAACCAACCAGCCCGCAAUAUUAUGAGGGGCGACGUCUGAAAGGGCGUGAAAUCACAUGAAUAAGAUGCGAAACGAGUUGAUCUAUGCGUGGGCAGGUUGAAGCCUUGGGAAACUAAGGUGGAGGACCGAACGGUUGCUGAUAUACAACUCGCUCCGCUGACCUACGUAUAGUAGUCAAAGGCUAAUCUAAACUCGUGAUAGCACAUUAAAACCGAAGUGGUGCCGCAGACCAGCGUUGGACGAAAGAAAUUUGAAGGUAGAGUACAGACAGAGUCGGAAAGGGCCUUCACGGGCUCGCCACUCCAUCUAACUCCGAAUGUCAAAUUCUUGUAGACUCCAGCAGUCGGGUGGGUCGCCGUAAGGGUGAUCACCGAGAAGCGAAUAAGCUUGAUCUGGGUUAAGGGCCCCAAAUGUCAGUUAAGUGUUAAGCUGAAGGGCGUCGUAUCGCGAAGACAAUGAGGUGGUAAGCUUAGAAGCAGCUACCCAUUAAAAAGUUCGUACUAGAUUACUCAUCGAGCGGUACGGCCCUGAAAAUGGACGGGGCUCAAACUGACUCCCGAUACCCAGAGGCGUAUAUUAAUACGAUCCGGUAGGUUUUCGAUGGCAUAGGGUAGAAGCAGGUUGGAGAUGACCUGUGGACCUUUGUCAUGUGCAGAUCCUGGUAGUAGUAGGCAGAAAACAUGGGUGAAAACCCCAUGGGUCAAAAAGGCAAGGGUUCCGAGGCAAUGUCAAUCAGCCUCGGGUAAGCCGGUCCUAAGCGUAACCUUAUUAUGGUCAUCGCAAAAGGGAAGCAGGUUAAUAUUCCUGCGCUGCGCCUGAACUCGGUAACGAUAGAAUAUGAUCGGACGCUUGUAGAUAGGUUCUUGUGGACCGUCGUCCAGACUAAGUGUAUAAGUCCUAGGAGUUGCGUUGAGCAGAGAAUUGGACAAAAUCACGAAUGGCCACCCAAUAGUGGGGGGUUGAAUUGAUUUCUAAAAGCCCAUGAAAACGAUCAUAUUUACUAAUGGCGCAUCCGUACCUAAACCGACACGGGUGUCCUUAGGCUUAGAAGGCUAAGACCUCUUGGAGUAAUGUAGUUAAGGGAAUUCGGCAAAUUAGGCGAGUAACUUCGGGAUAAUCGCUGCCUUUAGACGUUUUGCGUCCGAAGGUGUCACUAACAUAGGGAACCCAACUGUUUAACAAAAACAUAGCAAACUGCUACGCGGAAACGCUUUGUAUAGUUUGUGAAUCCUGCUCCGUGCUCGUAAGUUAAAGCCGGGUACAACCGGCCUAAGCUCGAGUUAACAGCGGGAGUAACCAUGACUCUCUUAAGGUAGGCAAAUGCCUUGUCGGAUAAUUACCGACGUCCAUGAAGGGAACAAUGAGGUUCCCCCUGUCCCUAACUAGAAUCCAGUGAACCUACAGUCCGGCGAACAGUCCGGAGAGACCUGACGGGAAGAGAAGACCCUGAGAGCUUUACUACAGCUUCCAGUUGUGUAUGCGGUUAUCAUACAGAGCGUAGUUAGGAGACUUUGAAGAUUUAUCCCCGGGUAAAUUGGAGUCAACAAUGGAACACUAACUAUGAUGACUGCGUAUGCUCACCUGAUGCGUCGGGGACACCUGGAGGUGGGUAGUUUGGCUGGGGCGGCACGCCUCCGAUAAGAAAACAGAGGCGCCCAAAGGUUGACUCAGAAGGGUCAGAAAUCCUUCGUAGAGUGCAAGGGCAUAAGUCAGCUUUACUGUGAGCACGAAAAUCCUGCUCGCUGUUACGAAAGUAGGGCCUAGCGAUCCAUCCUGAUCCUCCUUGGUGGGGGCGGGUGGUGACAGAAAAGUUACCUCAGGGGUAACAGAGUUGUCGCGGGCUAAAGUUCACACGUUGGUUUUAUAACCUCGGUGAUUUAGUUCAUACAAACCCUUUACUUUUCUGAAAAUAUCGCAAAAUAGUUGUAUUAAAUACAACCUGUUCUUUAUCGUGUUUCUCCUGUGGAGAACCCACCAUAAAUUAAAACUAAAGUAGUUACAAGCUCGUGCCAAGCCGAAAACGGCACAAUAAAAUGGUCUAAACUCUCUUCAAAAGUUAUAAGAAUAACAAGAAUACAAGUAGAGAAAAAACUAACUUACACACACCUAAUCAAACUGUAAAGUUGAUGAUGAUGGUGUUGUUGGUCUGUUUCCCAACCAAUUCCUAUACUUAUAACCUAUGAAGGAACGAGUUACGAUCAGAAAAAGCGCGAGUUAGAUAUGUUUCAGUCAUACUGCAAAUUAUCUUACAAAGGGUUUGA